RNAcentral lists this ribosomal RNA (1457 nucleotides) under uncultured Bordetella sp. RNAcentral describes it as "partial 16S-23S ribosomal RNA intergenic spacer". It matches the Rfam family "Bacterial small subunit ribosomal RNA". The record is from RNAcentral. Lineage: Bacteria; Pseudomonadati; Pseudomonadota; Betaproteobacteria; Burkholderiales; Alcaligenaceae.
GGUUUGAUUAUGGCUCAGAUUGAACGCUGGCGGGAUGCUUUGCUGGACAUGCAAGUCGAACGGCAGCACGACUUCGGUUCAGUGUGGCGAGUGGGCGAACGGGUGAGUAAAUGUAUUUGAACGCGCCUAGUAGCGGGGGAUAACUACGCGAAAGCGUAGCUAAUACUGCAUAUUGCCCUUCGGGGAAAGCAAGACCUUCGGCCUCACCAUUAGAGCGGCUGAUAUCGGAUUAGCUAGUUGAGGGGUAACGGCUCACCAAGGCGACGAUCCAGCUGGUUUGAGAGACGACCAGCCACACUGGGACUGGAGACACGGCCCAGACUCCUACGGGAGGCAGCAGUGGGGAAUUUUAGAUAAUGGGGAAACCCUGAUCCAGCCAUCCCGCGUGUGCGAUGAAGGCCUUCAAGAAAAGCACUUUUGGCAGGAAAGAAACGGCACGGAUAAUACCCCGUGCAACUGACGGUACCUGCAGAAUAAGCACCGCUAACCACGCCAGCAGCCGGUAAUACGUAGGGUGCAAGCGUUAAUCGGAAUUACUGGGCGUAAAGCGUGCGCAGGCGGUCUGGAAAGAAAGAUGAAAUCCCCAGAGCUUAACUUUGGAACUGUAUUUUUAACUACCGAGCUAGAGUGUGUCAGAGGGAGGUGAAUUCCGCGUAGCAGCAGAAUGCGUAGAUAUGCGGAGGAACACCGAUAAAGGCAGCCUCCUGGGAUAACACCGACGCUCAUGCACGAAAGCGUGGGGAGCAAACAGGAUUAUACUCUGGUAGUCCACGCCCAAACGAUGUCAACUAGCCGUUGGGGCCUUCGGGCCUGGUAGCGCAGCUAACGGGAAGUUGACCGCCUGGGGAGUACGGUCGCAAGAUUAAAACUCAAAGGAAUUGACGGGACCCGCACAAGCGGUGGAUGAUGAUUAAUUGAUGCAACGCGAAAAACCUUACCUACCCUUGACAUGUCUGGAAUCCCGAAGAGAUUUGGGAAAGCCUGCAAGAGAACCUGGAACAUAGGUGCUGCAUGGCUGUCGUCAGUCGUGUCGUGAGAUGUUGGGUUAAGUCCCGCAACGAGCGGCAACCCUCGGCUAGUUGCUGCCGAAAAAGGGCACUCUCAUCGAGACUGCCGGUGACAAACCGGAGGAAGGUGAUGACGUCAAGUCCUCAUGGCCCUGGCAUAGGCUUCACGACGUCAUACAAUGGUCGGGACGAGGGUCGCCAACCCGCGAGGGGGAGCCAAUCCCAGAAACCCGAUCGUAGUCCGGAUCGCAGUCUGCAACUCGACUGCGUGAAGUCGGAAUCGCCAGUAAUCGCGGAUCAGCAUGUCGCGGUGAAUACGUUCCCGGGUCUUGUGAUGACACCGCCCGUCACACCAUGGGAGUGGGUUUUUACCAGAAGUAGUUAGCCUAACCGUAAGGAGUGGCGAUUACCACGGUAGGAUUCAGACUGGGGUGAAGUCGUAACAAGGUA